This is a non-coding RNA of Stegodyphus mimosarum, 73 nucleotides long. NCBI's taxonomy places the organism in Eukaryota, Metazoa, Arthropoda, Arachnida, Araneae, Eresidae. The record is from Rfam.
GCCUUCGUGGUGUAAUGGUCAGCACGCUCGGUGAGUAUUCCACAGGUCCGUGGUUCGAGUCCCAGUGAAGGCG